UUAGAAUGUUAUAUGUUGUUAAUAUAUUGAAAUUCUAACUUCAUGGUAAGUACAAGCAGGUGGGUGUAUCAUGUAAUAUAAAUGUGUAUUUUUUUGCAUUUAUCUUCAAUAAACUUUAAAAAGUAUUUUCGGAUGAAAUUGUUUAAUCAGUUCUUUAAACACUAAUAUUCACAUGUUAAAAAUUACUGAGAUCAUUUGUAUUGCGUGUGACAUGUCACUAGUAUGCAUAAAAUGCAGUCAGGAAUUAGGAUAAAUAUCUUUCAAAAUGGAAGAAUUGC
RNAcentral lists this unclassified non-coding RNA (278 nucleotides) under Hevea brasiliensis (rubber tree). Lineage: Eukaryota; Viridiplantae; Streptophyta; Magnoliopsida; Malpighiales; Euphorbiaceae. The record is from RNAcentral.